CCUACGGGUGGCAGCAGUGGGGAAUUUUGGACAAUGGGCGAAAGCCUGAUCCAGCCAUGCCGCGUGAGUGAAGAAGGCCUUCGGGUUGUAAAGCUCUUUCGGCGGGGAAGAAAUGGCACUUUCUAAUACAGAGUGUUGAUGACGGUACCCGCAUAAGAAGCACCGGCUAACUACGUGCCAGCAGCCGCGGUAAUACGUAGGGUGCGAGCGUUAAUCGGAAUUACUGGGCGUAAAGCGUGCGCAGGCGGUUGUGUAAGUCAGAUGUGAAAUCCCCG
This 275-nucleotide ribosomal RNA is filed under the name uncultured bacterium. RNAcentral describes it as "partial 16S ribosomal RNA". It matches the Rfam family "Bacterial small subunit ribosomal RNA", at positions 338 to 605 of the family's 1533-position model. The record is from RNAcentral.